GGCUUUUGCGGGAGGUGGGGGAAGGGACAGAGCAGGCAGCUCUGUCCCUUCCCCCACCUCCCGUAAAAGCC
RNAcentral lists this microRNA precursor (71 nucleotides) under Podarcis lilfordi (Lilford's wall lizard). Lineage: Eukaryota; Metazoa; Chordata; Lepidosauria; Squamata; Lacertidae. The record is from RNAcentral.